RNAcentral lists this ribosomal RNA (492 nucleotides) under uncultured bacterium. RNAcentral describes it as "partial 16S ribosomal RNA". It matches the Rfam family "Bacterial small subunit ribosomal RNA", at positions 29 to 507 of the family's 1533-position model. The record is from RNAcentral.
AGUGAACGCUGGCGGUAGGCCUAACACAUGCAAGUCGAACGGCAGCACAGUAAGAGCUUGCUCUUACGGGUGGCGAGUGGCGGACGGGUGAGGAAUACAUCGGAAUCUACUUUUUCGUGGGGGAUAACGUAGGGAAACUUGCGCUAAUACCGCAUACGACCUACGGGUGAAAGCAGGGGAUCUUCUGACCUUGCGCGAUUGAAUGAGCCGAUGUCGGAUUAGCUAGUUGGCGGGGUAAUGGCCCACCAAGGCGACGAUCCGUAGCUGGUCUGUGAGGAUGAUCAGCGACACUGGAAGUGAGACGCGGUCAAGACUCCUACGGGAGGCAGCAGUGUGGAAUAUUGGGCAAUGGGCGCAAGCCUGAUCCAGCCAGAGCGCGUGGGUGAAGGAGGCCUUCGGGUUGUAAAGCCCGUCUGUUGGGAAAGAAAAGCAGCAGGUUAAGACGCCGCGGGUCUGACGGUACCCAAAGAAUAAGCACCGGCUAACUACGUG